RNAcentral lists this ribosomal RNA (490 nucleotides) under uncultured bacterium. RNAcentral's name for it is "partial 16S ribosomal RNA". It matches the Rfam family "Bacterial small subunit ribosomal RNA", at positions 30 to 507 of the family's 1533-position model. The record is from RNAcentral.
AUUGAACGCUGGCGGCAGGCCUAACACAUGCAAGUCGAACGGUAACAGGAAGCAGCUUGCUGCUUCGCUGACGAGUGGCGGACGGGUGAGUAAUGUCUGGGAAGCUGCCUGAUGGAGGGGGAUAACUACUGGAAACGGUAGCUAAUACCGCAUAAUGUCGCAAGACCAAAGAGGGGGACCUUCGGGCCUCUUGCCAUCGGAUGUGCCCAGAUGGGAUUAGCUUGUUGGUGGGGUAACGGCUCACCAAGGCGACGAUCCCUAGCUGGUCUGAGAGGAUGACCAGCCACACUGGGACUGAGACACGGUCCAGACUCCUACGGGAGGCAGCAGUGGGGAAUAUUGCACAAUGGGCGCAAGCCUGAUGCAGCCAUGCCGCGUGUAUGAAGAAGGCCUUCGGGUUGUAAAGUACUUUCAGCGGGGAGGAAGGGAGUAAAGUUAAUACCUUUGCUCAUUGACGUUACCCGCAGAAGAGGCACCGGCUAACUCCGUG